UCAAGCUACUAAGGGCAUACGGUGGAUGCCUUGGCACUAAGAGCCGAUGAAGGACGCGGUAAGCUGCGAAAAGCCACGGGGAACUGCAAGCAAGUCUUGAUCCGUGGAUGUCCGAAUGGGGAAACCCACCAUCCGUCAUGGGAUGGUAUCCUACGGGAGGGGAACCCGGUGAACUGAAACAUCUAAGUAGCCGGAGGAAGAGAAAUCAAACGAGAUGCCCACAGUAGCGGCGAGCGAAGAGGGCAGAGCCUAAACCAGUCAUCUUCGGAUGGUUGGGGUUACGGACCUGCAUCAACCGAGUCCUACCUAGUCGAAUUACCUGGAAAGGUAAGCCAGAGAGCGUAAGAGCCGCGUAGGUGAAAGGAAGGACGAGGGGGCAGGGAUCCAGAGUACCACGAAGCACGAGGAAUUUUGUGGGAAGUCGGGGGGACCACCCUCCAAGGCUAAACACUUCUUAGUGACCGAUAGCGCAUAGUACCGUGAGGGAAAGGUGAAAAGAACCGCGGGAGCGGAGUGAAAGAGAACCUGAAACCGUAUGUCUACAAGCAGUCGGAGCGCAAGCGACGGCGUGCCUAUUGAAGAAUGAGCCAACGAGUUACGGGCACCAGCGAGGUUAAGCAGGAAAUGCGGAGCCGGAGCGAAAGCGAGUCUAAACAGGGCGGAUAGUUGGUGUUCGUAGACCCGAAACUGUAGUGAUCUACCCAUGAUCAGGUUGAAGCGCAGGUAAAAAUGCGUGGAGGACCGAACCGGUGAGCGUUGAAAAGCUUUCGGAUGAAUCGUGGGUAGCGGUGAAAUUCCAAUCGAACGCAGAGAUAGCUGGUUCUCCUCGAAAUAGCUUUAGGGCUAGCCUCAAGCAGUAAGCAUAGGCGGUAGAGCACUGAUCGGGAUAGGGUCCGUAAAGGAUACCGAACCCUGUCAAACUACGAAUGGUUAUGCUGCAGAGCUUGGGAGUCAGACUACGAGAGAUAAGUCCCGUUGUCAAAAGGGAAACAGCCCAGACCGUCAGCUAAGGUCCCCAAUGCCAUACUAAGUGGAAAAGGAUGUGGGGUCUCAUAAACAACCAGGAUGUUGGCUCAGAAGCAGCCACCAUUUAAAGAGUGCGUAAUAGCUCACUGGUCGAGAGGCCCUGCGCCGAAGAUUCCCGGGGCUAAAGUAUGGAACCGAAGCUACGGAUGCGGUACUUGUACCGCGUGGUAGAGGAGCGUUCCCAUUGGGUUGAAGUCGUCCUGGAAGGGACGGUGGACUGGUGGGAAGUGAGAAUGUUGGCAUGAGUAGCGAAAAGAUAGGUGAGAAUCCUAUCCACCGAAAGCAUAAGGAUUCCUGAGCAACGAUCGUCGUCUCAGGGUAAGUCGGGACCUAAUCCGAGGCAUGGAGCGUAGGAGAUGGACAACUGGUUGAUAUUCCAGUACCGGCAGCAAUCGUUUGAACGAUGGAGUGACGCAGGAAGGCAGGUCCGCGCGAGAAUGGUAGAUCGCGUACAAGCGUGCAGGCUGGUGCACAGGCAAAUCCGUGUACUGAGGCUGAGGCGUGAUGUGGAGGGAACUUGUUCCCGAAGGGAUUGAGCCUACGCUGCCGAGAAAAGCUUCUAGUGAGAAAGCUGCCGCCCGUACCGUAAACCGACACAGGUAUGCGGGGAGAGAAUCCUAAGGUGCGCGGGAGAACCCUCGUUAAGGAACUCGGCAAAAUGUACCCGUAACUUCGGGAUAAGGGUAGCCACAGUGGUGAAGGGACUUGCUCCUGGAGCCUAGUGUGGUCGCAGAGAAGAGGCCCAAGCGACUGUUAACCAGAAACACAGGUGCCUGCGAAAGAGAAAUCUGAUGUAUAGGUGCUGACACCUGCCCAGUGCUGGAAGGUUAAAGAAGGAUGUCCGGGUUCGACCCAAAGCAUUUGACUGAAGCCCCAGUGAACGGCGGCCGUAACUAUAACGGUCCUAAGGUAGCGAAAUUCCUUGUCGGGUAAGUUCCGACCCGCACGAAAGGUGUAACGAUUUGGGCACUGUCUCAACGAGGGACCCGGUGAAAUUGAAAUACCUGUGAAGAUGCAGGUUACCCGCGACUGGACAGAAAGACCCCAUGGAGCUUUACUGUAACCUAAUAUUGGGUUCUGAUAUUCGACGCACAGGAUAGGUGGGAGGCUUGGAGCAUGGUCCUCUGGGAUCAUGGGAGCCGCCGUUGGGAUACCACCCUUCGAAUAUCGGGAUUCUAACCGCAGGAGCAACGAUCCUCGGGACAGUGUUAGGCGGGCAGUUUGACUGGGGCGGUCGCCUCC
RNAcentral lists this ribosomal RNA (2268 nucleotides) under human gut metagenome. Its description in RNAcentral is "bacterial LSU rRNA". It matches the Rfam family "Bacterial large subunit ribosomal RNA", at positions 3 to 2290 of the family's 2925-position model. The record is from RNAcentral.